GGGGUUGGUUUCUGAGAUAUGCACUUAUUUAACCAAGCGCUUCUCGCCAAACAGGGCUGGAGGCUAAUUCAAAACCCGGAUAGCCUAUAUGCAAGAGUGCUCAAAUCCAAAUACUACCCAAAUGGAAAUCUGUUGGACACAGUGUUUGCGAAAGACGCGUCCCUUGUUUGGAAGGCCAUUGAGUUUGCCUUGAACUCUUGA
This 201-nucleotide ribosomal RNA is filed under the name Triticum aestivum (bread wheat). RNAcentral describes it as "partial small subunit ribosomal RNA". The record is from RNAcentral. Lineage: Eukaryota; Viridiplantae; Streptophyta; Magnoliopsida; Poales; Poaceae.